This 271-nucleotide unclassified non-coding RNA is filed under the name Hevea brasiliensis (rubber tree). The record is from RNAcentral. Lineage: Eukaryota; Viridiplantae; Streptophyta; Magnoliopsida; Malpighiales; Euphorbiaceae.
UCCUCCAGCUGCUGAUUCAAAGGCAAGCAUUUCUUUUCCCUCUCCCUUGUAGUGUUUAUGACUCCAUGUUUAAACGCCUGUGAACCUGUACUUAGUUUAUUAAUAUUUAAUUGGAUCAGAAUAUUUGUUGGAGGAGCAUAUUGUUUCUUCUUGUACAGUCAGUGUUCUUAUUUUUGUGUUAGCAAAUUAGGGCUAUCUGAAAAUUGUAAUCAUGUUUGUGAUUAAUUUUGCUCUUUCUAACUGUGGAACUCUUUUAUUGGUUCCUAAUGUG